GAUGAACGCUGGCGGCGUGCCUAAUACAUGCAAGUCGAGCGAACAGACGAGGAGCUUGCUCCUCUGACGUUAGCGGCGGACGGGUGAGUAACACGUGGAUAACCUACCUAUAAGACUGGGAUAACUUCGGGAAACCGGAGCUAAUACCGGAUAAUAUAUUGAACCGCAUGGUUCAAUAGUGAAAGACGGUUUUGCUGUCACUUAUAGAUGGAUCCGCGCCGCAUUAGCUAGUUGGUAAGGUAACGGCUUACCAAGGCAACGAUGCGUAGCCGACCUGAGAGGGUGAUCGGCCACACUGGAACUGAGACACGGUCCAUACUCCUACGGGAGGCAGCAGUAGGGAAUCUUCCGCAAUGGGCGAAAGCCUGACGGAGCAACGCCGCGUGAAUGAUGAAGGUCUUCGGAUCGUAAAACUCUGUUAUUAGGGAAGAACAAAUGUGUAAGUAACUAUGCACGUCUUGACGGUACCUAAUCAGAAAGCCACGGCUAACUACGUG
This 497-nucleotide ribosomal RNA is filed under the name uncultured bacterium. RNAcentral describes it as "partial 16S ribosomal RNA". It matches the Rfam family "Bacterial small subunit ribosomal RNA", at positions 28 to 507 of the family's 1533-position model. The record is from RNAcentral.